GACGAACGCUGGCGGCGUGCUUAACACAUGCAAGUCGAACGGAAAGGCCCUGCUUUUGUGGGGUGCUCGAGUGGCGAACGGGUGAGUAACACGUGAGUAACCUGCCCUUGACUUUGGGAUAACUUCAGGAAACUGGGGCUAAUACCGGAUAGGAGCUCCUGCUGCAUGGUGGGGGUUGGAAAGUUUCGGCGGUUGGGGAUGGACUCGCGGCUUAUCAGCUUGUUGGUGGGGUAGUGGCUUACCAAGGCUUUGACGGGUAGCCGGCCUGAGAGGGUGACCGGCCACAUUGGGACUGAGAUACGGCGCAGACUCCUACGGGAGGCAGCAGUGGGGAAUAUUGCACAAUGGGCGGAAGCCUGAUGCAGCAACGCCGCGUGCGGGAUGACGGCCUUCGGGUUGUAAACCGCUUUCGCCGGUGACGAAGCGUGAGUGACGGUAAUGGGUAAAGAAGCACCGGCUAACUACGUG
Molecule: ribosomal RNA, 468 nt
Filed under: uncultured bacterium
Lineage: Bacteria
Description: partial 16S ribosomal RNA
Rfam family: Bacterial small subunit ribosomal RNA
Source: RNAcentral